This 435-nucleotide ribosomal RNA is filed under the name uncultured bacterium. RNAcentral describes it as "partial 16S ribosomal RNA". It matches the Rfam family "Bacterial small subunit ribosomal RNA", at positions 28 to 507 of the family's 1533-position model. The record is from RNAcentral.
GAUGAACGCUGGCGGUAUGCUUAACACAUGCAAGUCGAACGGACUCUUCGGAGUUAGUGGCGGACGGGUGAGUAACGCGUGAGAAUCUGGCUUUGGGUUCGGGACAACCACUGGAAACGGUGGCUAAUACCGGAUGUGCCGAGAGGUAAAAGAGAAAUUGCCUGAAGAUGAGCUCGCGUCUGAUUAGCUAGUUGGUGAGGUAAAGGCUCACCAAGGCAGCGAUCAGUAGCUGGUCUGAGAGGAUGACCAGCCACACUGGGACUGGGACACGGCCCAGACUCCUACGGGAGGCAGCAGUGGGGAAUUUUCCGCAAUGGGCGAAAGCCUGACGGAGCAAUACCGCGUGAGGGAAGAAGGCUCUUGGGUUGUAAACCUCUUUUCUUAGGGAAGAACAAAAUGACGGUACCUAAGGAAUCAGCAUCGGCUAACUCCGUG